GAUGAACGCUAGCGGCAGGCUUAACACAUGCAAGUCGAGGGGUAACAUAGAAAAGCUUGCUUUUCUGAUGACGACCGGCGCACGGGUGCGUAACGCGUAUACAACCUACCUUUUAGCGGGGAAUAGCCCAGGGAAACUUGGAUUAAUGCCCCAUAGUAUAUAGACUUCUCCUGAAGUUUAUAUUAAACAUUUAUGGCUAUUAGAUGGGUAUGCGUCCUAUUAGUUAGUUGGUAAGGUAACGGCUUACCAAGGCAGCGAUAGGUAGGGGUCCUGAGAGGGAGAUCCCCACACUGGUAUUGAGACACGGACCAGACUCCUACGGGAGGCAGCAGUGAGGAAUAUUGGACAAUGGGCGAGAGCCUGAUCCAGCCAUGCCGCGUGCAGGAAGACUGCCCUAUGGGUUGUAAACUGCUUUUACAGAGGAAGAACCACCCCCACGUGUGGGGGUUUGACGGUACUCUGCGAAUAAGGAUCGGCUAACUCCGUG
This 487-nucleotide ribosomal RNA is filed under the name uncultured bacterium. RNAcentral describes it as "bacterial SSU rRNA". It matches the Rfam family "Bacterial small subunit ribosomal RNA", at positions 28 to 507 of the family's 1533-position model. The record is from RNAcentral.